UUUGAAAUCUGGCCCCCCGCGGGGCCCGAGUUGUAAUUUGCAGAGGAUGCUUCUGGCGCGGCGCCGUCCGAGUUCCCUGGAACGGGACGCCACAGAGGGUGAGAGCCCCGUCCGGUCGGACGCCAGGCCUGUGUGAAGCUCCUUCGACGAGUCGAGUAGUUUGGGAAUGCUGCUCAAAACGGGAGGUAUAUGUCUUCUAAAGCUAAAUACCGGCCAGAGACCGAUAGCGCACAAGUAGAGUGAUCGAAAGAUGAAAAGCACUUUGGAAAGAGGGUUAAACAGUACGUGAAAUUGUUGAAAGGGAAGCGCCCGUGACCAGACUCGGGCCCGGCGGAUCACCCGGCGUUCUCGCCGGGGCACUCCGCCGGGCGCGGGCCAGCAUCGGCUCGGCGCGGGGGACAAAGGCCCUGGGAACGUGGCUCCCUCGGGAGUGUUAUAGCCCCAGGGGCGCAACGCCCCCGCGCGGGGGCCCAAGGUACGCGCCCCGCAAGGGAUGCUGGCGUAAUGGGUCACCGGGCAACCCGUUCUUGAAACACGGACCCAAGGAGUCCUCCUUCCUAUGCGAGUGUUCGGGUGUCAAACCCCUACGCGGAAUGAAAGUGAACGCAGGUGAGAGCUCCGGCGCAUCACCGACCGAUCCUGAUGUCCUCGGAUGGAUUUGAGUAGGAGCAUACGGGGCCGGACCCGAAAGAAGGUGAACUAUGCCUGUGUAGGGUGAAGCCAGAGGAAACUCUGGUGGAGGCUCGCAGCGGUUCUGACGUGCGAAUCGAUCGUCAAACAUGGGCAUGGGGGCGAAAGACUAAUCGAACCUUCUAGUAGCUGGUUUC
RNAcentral lists this ribosomal RNA (827 nucleotides) under unidentified. Its description in RNAcentral is "Jenniferia thomisidarum partial large subunit ribosomal RNA". It matches the Rfam family "Eukaryotic large subunit ribosomal RNA", at positions 114 to 958 of the family's 3401-position model. The record is from RNAcentral.